CCUACGGGUGGCAGCAGUGAGGAAUAUUGGUCAAUGGGCGUAAGCCUGAACCAGCCAAGUCGCGUGAGGGAUGAAGGUUCUAUGGAUCGUAAACUUCUUUUAUAAGGGAAUAAAGUGUGGGACGUGUCCUAUUUUGUAUGUACCUUAUGAAUAAGGAUCGGCUAACUCCGUGCCAGCAGCCGCGGUAAUACGGAGGAUCCGAGCGUUAUGCGGAUUGAUGGGGUUGAAAGGGUGCGUAGGCGGCCUUUUAAGUCAGCGGUGAAAGCCUGUGGCUCAACCAUAGAAUUGCCGUUGAAACUGGGGGGCUUGAGUAUGUUUGAGGCGGGCGGAAUGCGUGGUGUAGCGGUGAAAUGCUUAGAUAUCACGCAGAACCCCGAUGGCGAAGGCAGCCUGCCAAGCCAUGACUGACGCUGAUGCACGAAAGCGUGGGGAUCAAACAGGAUUAGAUACCCGAGUAGUC
RNAcentral lists this ribosomal RNA (460 nucleotides) under uncultured bacterium. RNAcentral describes it as "partial 16S ribosomal RNA". It matches the Rfam family "Bacterial small subunit ribosomal RNA", at positions 338 to 795 of the family's 1533-position model. The record is from RNAcentral.